Molecule: unclassified non-coding RNA, 148 nt
Filed under: soil metagenome
Description: partial internal transcribed spacer 1
Source: RNAcentral
CCGAGUUUACAACUCCCAAACCCCUGUGAACAUACCUAUAUGUUGCCUCGGCGGAUCAGCCCGCGCCCCGUAAAAAGGGACGGCCCGCCGCAGGAACCCUAAACUCUGUUUUUAGUGGAACUUCUGAGUAUAAAAAACAAAUAAAUCA